UGGGGAAUUUUGGACAAUGGACGCAAGUCUGAUCCAGCAAUGCCGCGUGCAGGACGAAGGCCUUCGGGUUGUAAACUGCUUUUGUACAGAACGAAAAGGCUCUGGUUAAUACCUGGGGCUCAUGACGGUACUGUAAGAAUAAGCACCGGCUAACUACGUGCCAGCAGCCGCGGUAAUACGUAGGGUGCGAGCGUUAAUCGGAAUUACUGGGCGUAAAGCGUGCGCAGGCGGUUUUGUAAGACCGAUGUGAAAUCCCCGGGCUCAACCUGGGAACUGCAUUGGUGACUGCAAGGCUGGAGUGCGGCAGAGGGGGAUGGAAUUCCGCGUGUAGCAGUGAAAUGCGUAGAUAUGCGGAGGAACACCGAUGGCGAAGGCAAUCCCCUGGGCCUGCACUGACGCUCAUGCACGAAAGCGUGGGGAGCAAACAGG
Molecule: ribosomal RNA, 429 nt
Filed under: uncultured Allobrachymonas sp.
Lineage: Bacteria; Pseudomonadati; Pseudomonadota; Betaproteobacteria; Burkholderiales; Comamonadaceae
Description: bacterial SSU rRNA
Rfam family: Bacterial small subunit ribosomal RNA
Source: RNAcentral